GCUUGCUCCUCUGACGUUAGCGGCGGACGGGUGAGUAACACGUGGAUAACCUACCUAUAAGACUGGGAUAACUUCGGGAAACCGGAGCUAAUACCGGAUAAUAUAUUGAACCGCAUGGUUCAAUAGUGAAAGACGGUUUUGCUGUCACUUAUAGAUGGAUCCGCGCCGCAUUAGCUAGUUGGUAAGGUAACGGCUUACCAAGGCAACGAUGCGUAGCCGACCUGAGAGGGUGAUCGGCCACACUGGAACUGAGACACGGUCCAGACUCCUACGGGAGGCAGCAGUAGGGAAUCUUCCGCAAUGGGCGAAAGCCUGACGGGGCAACGCCGCGUGAGUGAUGAAGGUCUUCGGAUCGUAAAACUUUGUUAUUAGGGAAGAACAAAUGUGUAAGUAACUAUGCACGUCUUGACGGUACCUAAUCAGAAAGCCACGGCUAACUACGUGCCAGCAGCCGCGGUAAUACGUAGGUGGCAAGCGUUAUCCGGAAUUAUUGGGCGUAAAGCGCGCGUAGGCGGUUUUUUAAGUCUGAUGUGAAAGCCCACGGCUCAACCGUGGAGGGUCAUUGGAAACUGGAAAACUUGAGUGCAGAAGAGGAAAGUGGAAUUCCAUGUGUAGCGGUGAAAUGCGCAGAGAUAUGGAGGAACACCAGUGGCGAA
RNAcentral lists this ribosomal RNA (656 nucleotides) under uncultured Staphylococcus sp. Its description in RNAcentral is "bacterial SSU rRNA". It matches the Rfam family "Bacterial small subunit ribosomal RNA", at positions 78 to 719 of the family's 1533-position model. The record is from RNAcentral. Lineage: Bacteria; Bacillati; Bacillota; Bacilli; Caryophanales; Staphylococcaceae.